Long non-coding RNA from Onychostoma macrolepis, 443 nucleotides. RefSeq lists it as uncharacterized. The record is from RefSeq and is a predicted model, not a curated record. The transcript is spliced from 3 exons. NCBI's taxonomy places the organism in Eukaryota, Metazoa, Chordata, Actinopteri, Cypriniformes, Cyprinidae.
CUUCUGAGGUUCGUUUGAAUGAUGCAAGUUUUCACGGAGUGGAUCGGGAUGGUAAUCUGAAUAAUAUUUCCGUCGAUCAUCAACUUAAAUUCUGCUCUGUACUUCACACAAAACUAUUGUAUUUCACCUGCGGCUGCAACGCAUCAUCAUUUGGACUACUUUUGACCCUGCCAUGUACCCUGCCCUCUUCAUACAGGCUGGCAUGAUGUCAUCUCAGAAGGCAGCGGAAGAACAACUUGGGGCACCUCCUGAAGAUGGAGACAGUGACUGACACACACACACACACUAGAUAUAUAAUUACUAUAAAUUAUGUUCUUGUUACUGUUUCCAUUAUUUGGACACAUUUUGAUGCUUUACUCUGGAAAUUAUCAUGGCAAUAAAGCCAAUUUGAACUGAAUCGAAUUGUCCGAGUUUCCCCCUCUCUAUCUCCACCACCCUUCCUA